GAUGAACGCUAGCGGGAGGCCUAACACAUGCAAGCCGAGCGGUAUUGUUUCUUCGGAAAUGAGAGAGCGGCGUACGGGUGCGGAACACGUGUGCAACCUGCCUUUAUCUGGGGGAUAGCCUUUCGAAAGGAAGAUUAAUACUCCAUAAUAUAUUGAACGGCAUCGUUUAAUAUUGAAAGCUCCGGCGGAUAGAGAUGGGCACGCGCAAGAUUAGCUAGUUGGUGAGGUAACGGCUCACCAAGGCAAUGAUCUUUAGGGGGCCUGAGAGGGUGAUCCCCCACACUGGUACUGAGACACGGACCAGACUCCUACGGGAGGCAGCAGUGAGGAAUAUUGGUCAAUGGGUGCAAGCCCGAACCAGCCAUCCCGCGUGAAGGACGACUGCCCUAUGGGUUGUAAACUUCUUUUGUAUAGGGAUAAACCUUUCCACGUGUGGAAAGCUGAAGGUACUAUACGAAUAAGCACCGGCUAACUCCGUGCCAGCAGCCGCGGUAA
RNAcentral lists this ribosomal RNA (495 nucleotides) under uncultured bacterium. RNAcentral's name for it is "partial 16S ribosomal RNA". It matches the Rfam family "Bacterial small subunit ribosomal RNA", at positions 28 to 523 of the family's 1533-position model. The record is from RNAcentral.